AGCCCACUGCUGACUCAUAUCCAGCUUCUCGUCCACUGUAAUCCCCAGGUCCUUUCCUGCAGAACCGCUUCUUAGCCUGUCGGUCCCCAACCUGCAGCGGGGUAUGGAAC
Long non-coding RNA from Gopherus evgoodei (Goodes thornscrub tortoise), 110 nucleotides. RefSeq lists it as uncharacterized. Lineage: Eukaryota; Metazoa; Chordata; Testudines; Testudinidae. The transcript has 3 exons. The record is from RefSeq and is a predicted model, not a curated record.